UCGGAUUACUGGGCGUAAGCGCACGCAGGCGGUCUGUCAAGUCGGAUGUGAAAUCCCCGGGCUCAACCUGGGAACUGCAUUCGAAACUGGCAGGCUAGAGUCUUGUAGAGGGGGGUAGAAUUCCAGGUGUAGCGGUGAAAUGCGUAGAGAUCUGGAGGAAUACCGGUGGCGAAGGCGGCCCCCUGGACAAAGACUGACGCUCAGGUGCGAAAGCGUGGGGAGCAAACAGGAUUAGAUACCCUGGUAGUCCACGCCGUAAACGAUGUCGAUUUGGAGGUUGUUCCCUUGAGGAGUGGCUUCCGGAGCUAACGCGUUAAAUCGACCGCCUGGGGAGUACGGCCGCAAGGUUAAAACUCAAAUGAAUUGACGGGGGCCCGCACAAGCGGUGGAGCAUGUGGUUUAAUUCGAUGCAACGCGAAGAACCUUACCUACUCUUGACAUCCAGAGAACUUUCCAGAGAUGGAUUGGUGCCUUCGGGAACUCUGAGACAGGUGCUGCAUGGCUGUCGUCAGCUCGUGUUGUGAAAUGUUGGGUUAAGUCCCGCAACG
This 548-nucleotide ribosomal RNA is filed under the name Enterobacter soli. Its description in RNAcentral is "bacterial SSU rRNA". It matches the Rfam family "Bacterial small subunit ribosomal RNA", at positions 545 to 1094 of the family's 1533-position model. The record is from RNAcentral. Lineage: Bacteria; Pseudomonadati; Pseudomonadota; Gammaproteobacteria; Enterobacterales; Enterobacteriaceae.